RNAcentral lists this unclassified non-coding RNA (279 nucleotides) under plant metagenome. RNAcentral's name for it is "partial contains small subunit ribosomal RNA, internal transcribed spacer 1, and 5.8S ribosomal RNA". The stretch from base 1 to 54 matches the Rfam family "Eukaryotic small subunit ribosomal RNA", at positions 1778 to 1831 of the family's 1831-position model. The record is from RNAcentral.
GGAAGUAAACGUCGUAACAAGGUUUCCGUAGGUGAACCUGCGGAAGGUUCAUUAUCGAAGCCCCUAUGGGGUGCCUCACCGCGGUUCCUGGCUGUGCGCCUAUGGGCCGCACGCGUGGUCCCGUCACGUGAUUCUCACACCUGUGCACUCUGCGGGUGUCCCCUCUCCGGGGGACGUCCGUCUACACACACUACAUAUGUCUAUGGAUGUCUUACUUUUGUAACUAAUACAACUUUCAACAACGGAUCUCUUGGCUCUCGCAUCGAUGAGGAACGCUGG